Molecule: unclassified non-coding RNA, 251 nt
Filed under: Mortierella alpina
Lineage: Eukaryota; Fungi; Mortierellomycota; Mortierellomycetes; Mortierellales; Mortierellaceae
Also listed under: 2 other names
Description: partial internal transcribed spacer region
Rfam family: Eukaryotic small subunit ribosomal RNA (bases 1-46)
Source: RNAcentral
AAGUCGUAACAAGGUUUCCGUAGGUGAACCUGCGGAAGGAUCAUUCAUAAUCAAGUGUUUUUAUGGCACUUUAAAAAAUCCAUAUCCACCUUGUGUGCAAUGUCAUCUCACUGGAGGGCCAACGGCUGUAAAAAUCCGUUUGGUCACCUUUGGGAUUUAUAUCUACUCAGAACUUUAGUGAUUUUGUCUGAAAAAUAUUAUGAAUAACUUAAUUCAAAAUACAACUUUCAACAACGGAUCUCUUGGCUCUC